UAAAACUUCUGUCUUARUGUAUACGAAUCGUUGAAGGAACGAAASCCGAAMAUACCCAWUAUCUUGUUCCAACAGGAUAUUGGGUAUUUCUUUGUUUAUUCUGAAUCUUUCUAUUCUGAAUUCACUUAACGACGAGAUUUAGUAUCCUUUCUUGCACUUUCAUAACUCGUGAAAUGCCGAGUAGGCACGAAUUCCCCCAAUUUGCGACCUACCAUAGGAUUUGUUAUGUAAAUAGGUAUAUGUUCCUUUCCAUUAUGAAUCGCGAUUGUAUGGCCAACCAUUGCGGGUAGAAUGCUAGAUGCCC
This 304-nucleotide unclassified non-coding RNA is filed under the name Burchardia umbellata. RNAcentral's name for it is "partial miscellaneous RNA". The record is from RNAcentral. Lineage: Eukaryota; Viridiplantae; Streptophyta; Magnoliopsida; Liliales; Colchicaceae.